RNAcentral lists this ribosomal RNA (500 nucleotides) under uncultured bacterium. RNAcentral's name for it is "partial 16S ribosomal RNA". It matches the Rfam family "Bacterial small subunit ribosomal RNA", at positions 30 to 523 of the family's 1533-position model. The record is from RNAcentral.
AUUGAACGCUGGCGGCAUGCCUUACACAUGCAAGUCGAACGGCAGCACGGGAGCAAUCCUGGUGGCGAGUGGCGAACGGGUGAGUAAAGUAUCGGAACGUGCCCAGUCGUGGGGGAUAACGUAGCGAAAGUUACGCUAAUACCGCAUACGGUCUAUGGAUGAAAGCGGGGGAUCGCAAGACCUCGCGCGAUUGGAGCGGCCGAUAUCAGAUUAGGUAGUUGGUGGGGUAAAGGCUCACCAAGCCGACGAUCUGUAGCUGGUCUGAGAGGACGACCAGCCACACUGGGACUGAGACACGGCCCAGACUCCUACGGGAGGCAGCAGUGGGGAAUUUUGGACAAUGGGCGAAAGCCUGAUCCAGCCAUGCCGCGUGCAGGAUGAAGGCCUUCGGGUUGUAAACUGCUUUUGUACGGAACGAAAAGGCUCUGGUUAAUACCCGGGGCUCAUGACGGUACUGUAAGAAUAAGCACCGGCUAACUACGUGCCAGCCGCCGCCGUAA